This 446-nucleotide ribosomal RNA is filed under the name uncultured bacterium. RNAcentral describes it as "bacterial SSU rRNA". It matches the Rfam family "Bacterial small subunit ribosomal RNA", at positions 329 to 792 of the family's 1533-position model. The record is from RNAcentral.
CACCAGACUCCUACGGGAGGCAGCAGUGGGGAAUAUUGCACAAUGGGGGAAACCCUGAUGCAGCGACGCCGCGUGAGCGAUGAAGUAUUUCGGCAUGUAAAGCUCUAUCAGCAGGGAAGAAAAUGACGGUACCUGACUAAGAAGCCCCGGCUAACUACGUGCCAGCAGCCGCGGUAAUACGUAGGGGGCAAGCGUUAUCCGGAUUUACUGGGUGUAAAGGGAGCGUAGACGGCUGUGCAAGCCAGAUGUGAAAGCCCGGGGCUCAACCCCGGGACUGCAUUUGGAACUGUGUGGCUGGAGUGUCGGAGAGGCAGGCGGAAUUCCUAGUGUAGCGGUGAAAUGCGUAGAUAUUAGGAGGAACACCAGUGGCGAAGGCGGCCUGCUGGACGAUGACUGACGUUGAGGCUCGAAAGCGUGGGGAGCAAACAGGAUUAGAUACCCGAGUA